Long non-coding RNA from Crotalus tigris (Tiger rattlesnake), 173 nucleotides. RefSeq lists it as uncharacterized. The transcript has 3 exons. The record is from RefSeq and is a predicted model, not a curated record. Lineage: Eukaryota; Metazoa; Chordata; Lepidosauria; Squamata; Viperidae.
UCUUUCCACAUGAUGGGUUCCUGGUGCCCAAAAGGUUGGGGACCUCUGCUCUAAGCUCCAAUCGUGAGCUUGAACAUACCAUCUCCACAAUUCGAUCCACCGGGAAGAGGAACACAAGAAGACCACAGAACUCCGCUGACUUUGCUGAUGCUUGGAGCAUAGAAGGAAACAGC